Molecule: ribosomal RNA, 1158 nt
Filed under: Cyanobacterium sp. CR_23M
Lineage: Bacteria; Bacillati; Cyanobacteriota; Cyanophyceae; Chroococcales; Geminocystaceae
Description: bacterial SSU rRNA
Rfam family: Bacterial small subunit ribosomal RNA
Source: RNAcentral
UUGCUGUGUGUUUUUGACUACCAUGGCCACGAUCGUAUCGGCCUGAGAGGAUGAGCAGCCACACUGGGACUGAGACACGGCCCAACUCCUACGGGAGGCAGCAGUGGGGAAUUUUCCGCAAUGGGCGAAAGCCUGACGGAGCAAUACCGCGUGAGGGAGGAAAGGCUCUUGGGUUGUAAACCUCAAAACUUAGGGAAGAAGAAAGUGACGGUACCUAAUCUAAGCAUCGGCUAACUCCGUGCCAGCAGCCGCGGUAAUACGGAGGAUGCAAGCGUUAUCCGGAAUCAUUGGGCGUAAAGCGUCCGUAGGUGGCCUUUCCAGUCUACUGUUAAAGACCGAAGCUCAACUUCGGAAAGGGGGUAGAAACUGAAAAGCUAGAGUAAAGUAGGGGUAGAGGGAAUUCCUAUGUGUAGCGGUGAAAUGCGUAGAGAUUAGGAAGAACACCAGUGGCGAAGGCGCUCUACUGGGCUUAUACUGACACUGAGGGACGAAAGCUAGGGUAGCGAAAGGGAUUAGAUACCCCUGUAGUCCCUAGCGGUAAACGAUGGAUACUAGGUGUAGUCUGUAUCGGACCCGGACUGUGCCGAAGCAAACGCSUUAAGUAUYCCGCCUGGGGAGUACGCACGCAAGUGUGAAACUCAAAGGAAUUGACGGGGACCCGCACAAGCGGUGGAGUAUGUGGUUUAAUUCGAUGCAACGCGAAGAACCUUACCAAGUCUUGACAUCCUACGAAUCAGACGGAAACCUGUGAGUGCCUAAGGGAACAUAGAGACAGGUGGUGCAUGGCUGUCGUCAGCUCGUGUCGUGAGAUGUUGGGUUAAGUCCCGCAACGAGCGCAACCCUCGUCCUUAGUUGCCAGCAUUAAGUUGGGGACUCUAGGGAGACCGCCGGGGAGAACUCGGAGGAAGGUGGGGAUGACGUCAAGUCAGCAUGCCCCUUACGACUUGGGCCACACACGUACUACAAUGGAGAGGACAAAGGGAAGCGAACCUGCAAAGGGCAGCGAAUCCAAGCAAACCUCUCCCCAGUUCAGAUCGGAGGCUGAAACUCGCCUCCGUGAAGGAGGAAUCGCUAGUAAUCGCAGGUCAGCAUACUGCGGUGAAUCCGUUCCCGGGUCUUGUACACACCGCCCGUCACACCAUGGAAGUUGGUCACGCC